GUCACAAUUACGGUGACGUCUUUGUAUUAUGACGUCACAAUUAUAACAUCCUUCACAACGGAGGCAAAACAUUGAAGUCGUGAGCAUUGAAACCAUUAUGGAACCUAAGUACAAGAAGAGUAAGGAAUAUUUUGGAAGUUUGGGAGACUCAGAAAGUGAUUGGGUAAACAAUACUUGGUCAGAAUUCAAAGACGGUACCGAAUACCUAGAAUGGUUGGAGCGACAACUUCCAUAUCUAGAGGAAUUUGAAGACAGUGAUGCGGUUCAUUACUACUUUUUUCGGAGCUGGAGCAAACACACAUCAUACUUUCCCGAGAUGGAACCUUUAA
This is a long non-coding RNA of Saccostrea cuccullata (small rock oyster), 329 nucleotides long. RefSeq lists it as uncharacterized. The record is from RefSeq and is a predicted model, not a curated record. Lineage: Eukaryota; Metazoa; Mollusca; Bivalvia; Ostreida; Ostreidae. The transcript is spliced from 3 exons.